AUUAACCUGUCAGUGUCUUGCUGCCGCACCUUGUUGUCAGUUGCCGUAAAUUGUGCCAGUGGCGACCGGUCGCGACACACCGUAAAGCAGACACAAACACUAAACUAUGGAUUUUGGCGGAGAUAAUGGAAAGUACAGCAAAGAAGAGGAGAUGCAGCUUCAACAAAGACUGGGAAACUACAUAUCACUGGGUGAAGCCGGUGCAAGGUGAUUCUCAGAGAGUUUUCUGUCAAGUUUGCCAGAGUUCGUUUUCCGUUUCAUACGGUGGGAAUACGACGUGAAGCGACACAGUACAUGCAAGACCCCCUCUCAGCUUUGUCUUCUCCAGAACAUCCCAAAGGUUCUCAGUGGUUCUGAGGUCUGGACUCUGUGGAGGACAAUCCAUCUCAUGCUCCCUGAUCCACUCAUUCUCAAUGUGAGCCCAUGAAUCCUGGCAUCAUCAUCUAGGAACAUGAAGAAAACCUCCACUGAUGGAAAGACCUGGUCAUUCAGUAUCUUCAGGUAUCAGCUGACCUCAUUCUUUGGGAACAUAAUGUUGGUGAACCUGACCAACCCCAGAUCAUAACCCUAACCCCUACUAGCCAUGAUGAGGGCAUCACUUCAUCUGCCUCUCUUCUUACCCUGAUGCCCCCAUCACUCUGGAACAGGGUAAAUCUGGACUCAUCAGACCACAUUAGUUCCUGGAAGAUGAUGGUUCUCCACCAUUCUUCAGGUUUUAAUAAUGCGUUGCAUGGUUCUUAACCUGAUUUUAGUCGUUUCAUCUCCUUAGUUAUUUUCUUUGCUUGAUGUAGGCCAGUAAUGUGACCCUUCUGAGACAGAUUAACAUCCUUUCCAUGACCCACAGGAUAUGUCUUUAACAUGGUUGUUUCAGAAAUGAGAAGCUCCUCACUGUACCAGCUAGGGUUAAAUAGGGUGUUUCAUCACUGCAGUAAUUAUCCAAUGGGGGGAUCUGACCUAUUUGCUUCGUUAAAUGCAGGUGGAGACUUUUAUUUUUUGAACAGGCAGUGUGUUAUCAGUGAAAAAGAGCUUGGGGUAGUACUACAAAUAUCACAAUUUCUUUAAAAGUAUAAAAGGUAACUUCAAAAUUUAAAUGGAAUGAUAUCAAAAACAUGUUCUUUGAUGAAUAGCUGGAGAAUGAAAUGAUAAAAACUUUUCAUUACAAAUAUAUUUCAAGAAAACGACCUCACCGUGUCAUUUUUGACCCACAUAUGCAUCUAGGGGUUAAAUAAAUGAGAGCUUACUUAAUGAGAGGAUGGGAGUAAACGCCAGUUUACACCUGGUGUCAACAUCUGGAUCUGGAAAUCUUAUCUGGAUAAUGACAUGGAUCCACCCAUGUGUGCUCCUACAUCUGGUGUUAACAUGCUAUCUCUGAUCCAGGUAACAUUUCCAGACACAGAUCACGUGUUCAUAGCAGGUGUAUAAAUUGCAUUAUACAGUAAGCAUAAAUCGUGGAUGUACAACUACUUUUGGAUUCCAUGUUUGCUCUGCAAGCAUGCAAAACUAAUUUUAAAGAACCUCUGAUAAAAAUCGAGGCCCUGAAUUUGUUUCACCAGAUGAACUUACUCAUUAUUGUUUUCUUCACCAACUACCACAUGCUCUUAUUCGUGUGUCAGAGACAACUCGGCAACUGGCAAACAUUUAAAGAGCCCCUCCAGUGGAAGAACAGUUUUUACAUCCCCAUAUGGAGGUUUCCUUUAUAUGCUAAAUAAACAGUGAACACCACGGCUGAACAUUUCUACCUUCAAGCUCCAGAGUACCGAUGCCACUCUGAAAAGCCAGACUCUGAUUCUGGGGUUUUAUAUAUAAUAAUUGUAAGGAACUUAUCUUGUCUUACUUGGUCUUUCUGGCUCAUCCCUGUACGGCUGAGUUGGUCCAUCAUUACAGCUUGGCAUUAUGUCGCGUAGAGUAGUUUAACAGUGUUUGAAUGGAGUCCAAUGUUAGCUGGAGGCAGAAACAGCAGUGGAGAGUUACAUGUAAGCUACUUUCAGGUACUGCAGGAUUAUUUUCUUGGGAAAACACUUCUAAAUAUGUAAGUUUAAUACUCAGAGAUGACUUCUGAGACGUCAAAGACCAGAGAGACUUUCAGUGAAUGUUAUUUGUGAUUGUUGUCAUUUAUUUUUUGAACUUUUUGGUUUUUUAUAGUGUAUGUGUAAGUAUUGAGAGUGCGAUGUAUAAUGAUAGCUAAUAGGUGCUGAAAUACAUGAUUAUUUUGGCCCUAAGGCCUCCCAGGAGGUUAAUCCAUCCAUGAUGAUGGUGAUUGUUAUCCCUAUAGAGGAAAAAUCAUCCAGAAAUGAUGUUCCCACACAGCUGAACUGAAACACGUACAUUUUCUCCCAGUAAAGUAACAUUUUCUGAUGUAAGUUUCCAGUUUUAAAGAGCCACAAAGUCCACAUUAGGAGGUAGGAUGGGGGGAGGUGGCAUAAGUCUGGCCCAGUUUGUGUCCAAAGUGACACCAUUAUUCUUAGACCUGGCUAGAGGUGUAGCCACUAAAACCAGUUGAUUAGACCAUCUCACCACCUGCUUGAAGGUGGUCUUCCAUUGUCUGGGUUACCAUGGUGACGAGCCCCGUUCCAUCUAAUAUAGCGUAUGAUUAGUUGGCUGAAAAGGAGUGAAGGUAGAAAGCAAUACUUGAUUAUUAAUGGCCAAGAUGCUGUUGGAGAUGAGAAAAUGAGAAAAUAUUUUUCCCUCAAAAUGCAACUGAGAAUACUUUCUUUGUUUGUAUUGGGACAGGAUUUUUGAGAGAUAAAUGUCCAAAGAAUAAUAUGUUAAACCAGGUAAGGUGAUACUCAUAUCAGUCUGUAUGAAGUCACAACGUAUUUUCCUUUUUACUGUAUUGUAGUUAUGAUGUGUUUGGUGAUUUGUACAUAUAGUUUUCUGCAAGUAGCAUAUUUGCAUAUUAGCAAGAGCCUAUUGCUGAACCUGCUGCAGCGUCUCCUUUGAAUCAAGUCAGAUAUCAGUCUGCUGUAUAUUCAGUGAUGCUGUUCUAAAGGCAGGAACAAGACUCUGCUCACACACCACUGUUACAUUUCUCUCUCACAAAUUCAUAUUUAUGUAGAAGCAAAAGAUAACUGUCUUAGAUAACAGGUCAGGAUGCACAAUUAGAUUUUAAACAAUAAGUCUACUGAUUCUGUCUUUAUUAAUGUCAGCAAAUCAUGACAAGAAAAGACUAAAAUGACACAGAAGUUAAUCAAAUUAGUUUAAUCAAAUUCACUUCAUAACAAUUUAUUCUAAUUAUAUGAAAUUAAAACCCAUCAGCCACACAAUAGUCCCCAAUAAAUGCCUUCAGUAACUGUGUCCAGCUAUUUUAGGAAUUAUUUAAUUUUAGUCAUGAGGCAUUAAAAAAACUAACUAUAUAACCAUAAACCCUUUUAAAAUAUUUGCAUCUAUGGUCUGAGGCUGAGAGCCACAAACAGAGCAGGACACUGAGGAAAUAGUGAGAGAACUAAUUGGUCUUUUCAUGGGAUUUGUUAACGGAAAAACAUAUAGAAUGAUGUCAGUCAUAAGAUUUAAUAUAUAUUUCUAAGCUGAAACCAUCAAACCUUGACUUUCUCUUCUUUCUCCACAAGCAGCAUCACUCUGCAAGCAGCGGUUGAAUAUUUCGUUAGCUAAUAGACGGCUGUGUAGUAAAAUUAUAUGCUUUCAAGAAAUGCUAGAUGUGUGGAGAGCUGCUUCCACAGCAUCAGGACAAGACUACCAGAGUCUAGUCAAUGUGAAUUAUUGUAAGACACACUGCACAGUCUUCCAGAGAAGAUUCAGUACAUUCAUAAUGUUAUUAAGCUAAGAUUUGCUAAUUAACAGGUGAGGAAUGUUGUUCCCUUUGCUGGUUUUUGACCCAGGAAGUAGCUGAAAUCUACUGAUCCAUAAGCACCUGUUUUCUGCUCUCAGUAGAUUUAUACGUCACUGCACCAGUCUUCUCUCUCCUGUGGAUGGUGUUUGUCCUCUCUGUCCUUCUUGUACCUCUCUGCGCCACCAACCUGCACAAUGUUUAGUAUUUGUUGUUUCUCAAAGCUUUUCUCUCACACCAGCUAGUUCAGGAAGAUGCUUCAAUCAUUCAUCCUGCUUUGUUCAGUUAAAUUAAAAUUUGUCCUCCAACACCAA
This is a long non-coding RNA of Amphiprion ocellaris (clown anemonefish), 4098 nucleotides long. RefSeq lists it as uncharacterized. NCBI's taxonomy places the organism in Eukaryota, Metazoa, Chordata, Actinopteri, Pomacentridae. The record is from RefSeq and is a predicted model, not a curated record. The transcript has 2 exons.